Molecule: long non-coding RNA, 1318 nt
Organism: Osmia bicornis bicornis
Lineage: Eukaryota; Metazoa; Arthropoda; Insecta; Hymenoptera; Megachilidae
Exons: 5
Source: RefSeq, a predicted model, not a curated record
ACGGUGCUGAGGCGUACAACAUGCGCGUGCCUGCACACCGGUUUUCGGCUUCCCUAGUGAUGGGCCCGAUCUCUCGGGACGAAGGCUACCGUGAGUGUCAUUCUUCAUAAGAAUAACGGUAUGCUUCAUUAGCGCCUAAUCACCCCUUAGGGACGAGGAACUAACUUCAGAGUCAAAUGAGCUUUACUACUUUUCCAUAGUAGAAUUUAGCUUCGACCAUUUGUGCCUGAAUUCUUUGAAAUAACACAAGACGGAAAUAAAAUAAUUCCAGAGAAGAUGAUGAAAAUUUGCAAAAAUUUUUAAAGGAAAAAGGUUGACUUCCAGGCAGGAGAAAAUUGUCUUGAGGCACAUACUGCUUUCUUCUGGAUGAACUCUUCUUUAAAUCAUUCCUCUUUUUCUUCCUUUUCCCAUGAGGAAGUAGUUUAUCAAAUAUCUUCAUUUUUCUAUUUUCAACUGCCUUUGUUAAGAAAUCAUCACCAAGAAAGCAGAUUGUAUUGGUAUCACAAAGGAAGAAGUCUAUCAUCAGAAAAUAAUCUUAGGACAACUUACUUGGGACAAUUUUAAGUGGAAGAGUAUCGAGCACAAGACACACUGAACGCUAAUACGAAAAAGAGUGAUGAGAAAUGAAGAGAUACCGAUUUGAAAUGUGGGCGGCUUCGUAACACGGCUUAUCAUAGCGGGUGUUGCUGAUACUGGAUGAGCCGAUGGAAUCUCUGUAAUUCUACGUUGCCUUUGGACGAACGAUCGAUCUGUCGACGAAAUGAAGCCCCAGAAUCACAUACUGGCUUCAUAUUCUUCGAAUUACAUAUACGAACGUUUCUUCACCUUCCACGUUUCAAUUUUACUGUAUAUCAAAUAUGAAAAGAAUUCUUCAACUAGUUUUAAAGGGUUGAAAGUAAUGUAGGAUUUUUUUAAAAAUUCUGAAGGCUCUAUAACUAUUUAAAUUGAUGUAACUAGGCAGAUUGAUCUUCCAUAAGUAAUAAGUUUUCUUGUUAUUAAUAGAAAGAUUGUAGUCAAAUGAAAUUGUAUCGAUGUUGCAAGCUAGUAGCUUUAGAAUUAAGAAAAUAAAAUAUUAAAAUGUGGAAAUUCAGAUUUUGUACAUGAAAACUUAAGGUUUAUUGCUUAUUAGGCACUCAAAAUUUAUUAAACAACCAAAUAAUAUUUGUCAAUGAUACAAAUUCUAAUAAUACAAUUCAAUGAAUGUAAAAAAUAUACAGUAAUAUCAUGCAAAACAAAUCUCCUCAAAUCUGGGGACCGCUAUCUGAUAAUUAUGAAAAACAACGAGAAGUAAGAAAUAUUUUUAAACUAUAACAAUUUU